RNAcentral lists this ribosomal RNA (373 nucleotides) under uncultured bacterium. RNAcentral describes it as "bacterial SSU rRNA". It matches the Rfam family "Bacterial small subunit ribosomal RNA", at positions 524 to 898 of the family's 1533-position model. The record is from RNAcentral.
UACGUAGGGGGCAAGCGUUAUCCGGAAUCACUGGGCGUAAAGGGUGCGUAGGCGGCCGAUAAAGUCUGGGGUGAAAGGCUACGGCUCAACCGUAGUAAGCCUUGGAAACUUAUUGGCUUGAGUGCAGGAGAGGAGAGUGGAAUUCCUAGUGUAGCGGUGAAAUGCGUAGAUAUUAGGAGGAACACCAGUGGCGAAGGCGACUCUCUGGACUGUAACUGACGCUGAGGCACGAAAGCGUGGGGAGCGAACAGGAUUAGAUACCCUGGUAGUCCACGCCGUAAACGAUGAGUGCUAGGUGUCGGAGCCGACAGGCUUCGGUGCCGCAGCUAACGCAUUAAGCACUCCGCCUGGGGAGUACGGUCGCAAGACUGAA